GACGAACGCUGGCGGCGUGCCUAAUACAUGCAAGUCAACUGGAGUUAAUGCAGCAAUGUGUUAACAACGGUGGCGCACGGGUGAGUAACACGUAGGCAAUCUGCCUUCAGGUCUGACAUAACCCCGCGAAAGCGGGGCUAAUAUCAGAUGAUGCAGCGGGUCCGCAUGGACACAGUUGUUAAACCUUCGGGGCCUGAAGAUGAGUCUGCGUCUGAUUAGCUAGUUGGCGGGGUAACGGCCCACCAAGGCUUCGAUCAGUAGCUGGUCUGAGAGGAUGAUCAGCCACACUGGAACUGAGACACGGUCCAGACUCCUACGGGAGGCAGCAGUAAGGAAUAUUGCUCAAUGGCCGAAAGGCUGAAGCAGCAACGCCGCGUGAAGGAUGAAGACCUUAUGGUUGUAAACUUCUGUAGAGAGAGAGAAACCUCUGCCUCUGGCAGAACUG
RNAcentral lists this ribosomal RNA (445 nucleotides) under uncultured Pseudomonadota bacterium. RNAcentral describes it as "bacterial SSU rRNA". It matches the Rfam family "Bacterial small subunit ribosomal RNA", at positions 28 to 471 of the family's 1533-position model. The record is from RNAcentral. Lineage: Bacteria; Pseudomonadati; Pseudomonadota.